RNAcentral lists this long non-coding RNA (373 nucleotides) under Ananas comosus (pineapple). Its description in RNAcentral is "long non-coding RNA (ACOM_LNC004766)". The record is from RNAcentral. Lineage: Eukaryota; Viridiplantae; Streptophyta; Magnoliopsida; Poales; Bromeliaceae.
AUUUUAAUUUUAAGGAAAAACUUUCAAAAAAUCCCUGUGGCUUCGUAGUUUCUCACUUUGCCCCCCUGUGGUUUAAAAAUAUCAAUUUUCCCCCGUGUGGUUUCUUUUUUCUCUUUUUCUUAUCAAUUUUAUUAUUUUUUUUUUCUUAAAUCAGUGAUAAAGUUAAAAUUAAAGAGUACUAAAGUGAAUAUUUGAUAAAUCUCGAUGUGUAUCUGAAGUUUUUUGUAUAUAAUUUAAUAAAAUAUUAAUGAAAAAGUUAUCGAAAAGAUAAAACAAAACUACAGGAGGGCAAGUUGAUACACUUUAAACUACAGGAUAUUAAAUGAGAAACAAUGAAACACACGGGGGUUUUUGAAGUUUUCCCUAAUUUUAA